UANAACUGUUGGAACAAGUUCCUUGAUAUCAAAACCUGAAACAAGUGCUGGGACAUCAACAGGAGAUGCUUUGACUAGUAGAAUAACAGAGGCGUCCUCACUGGGGGUUUUCACUGCAACAGCAUCAACAGGUGGUCCAACUGACUCUUUGACAUCUCCAGGUGAUGAAACUACCACUAGUAGAAGAAUGCCUUUUCCUACAACCAGUUCUGGAACAAUGAUGCCAGUAGUUACAACUGCUAGUGGGAUGUCAAGAACUAGUGCAGCCACAGGAAGUGAGACUCUGUCCUCUUUUAAAGUCAGUGCUACCACAACAACAAAGCAAACUUUAACCGGUACCAGUCCAGAACUAUCAAACACUGCAACCAGUCCUGUUACCUCAGAGCCACAAACUGAUGGAAGAAGCAGUAAAAUGUCAACACCAGAUGCCAUGACAACCGCUGGGAGAGCAACAGUAGAUGUUUCAACUGGUAUACAAACAACAAAAAGUCUCACUGCCUCUGGAAUGCCAACCAGAAACAGUCCUGGGUCAGCAUCGUCACCUCCAGUCACUACUAUUCUGACUCAGUCUGCCAACCACACACAGAACAUGACAUUGGCCUUUCUUGAGGCUGUGCUGGAUAAAGAUUUCUCCCCGUCGGCUGUUAGUGAUGAGGAGUUCCUGCUAUGGCUUAGGCUUCAACUCAGACCUUUGCUAGUCAAUCUCGCUCCAACUCUGGUUAUUCACCUCUUCAKUAUUGUGAAAAACAGAAGCUGCAACAGCAGCCAAGAGAUGAUUUCCGUGCUUGAAACUGUGCAGAUGACACUCAGCGGCGAAACCAAGGCAGAGAUCUACAAAAAUAUUAUCCUCUUCCUCCAAGGUUUUAUAAUUCUGAAAAU
Poecilia reticulata (guppy) is the source of this 879-nucleotide non-coding RNA. The record is from RefSeq and is a predicted model, not a curated record. NCBI's taxonomy places the organism in Eukaryota, Metazoa, Chordata, Actinopteri, Cyprinodontiformes, Poeciliidae.